UGAAGCCGCGGAUAAGGAAGCGGAGAGUAGGAGUAUGGCUGUAUAUCCGAUAUGGGAAAAAGGCCACAUCGACAACAUUAAAUUUAGUGAAGAAAGGCAAGUCGCCUACGAAAGAACACGGCCACUAGGAAGACGGACAGCAAGAGAAAUAUGAAACUGCCAAGGACGGCUAUAAACCAAGGCUGCUGAACGAUUGUAUGAAGUGAAGAUGAUCUUCUAGAAAGUCCGCUAUCCAUUCCACCAAUCAUAUGAGGAUCUGUAAUUGAAACAGUCAUCUCCAGAAUAAUAUUUAGGACAUUUUUAAUAUAACAGAAUUUUGGAACAGCGAAGUAACGAGAUACAAGUUAGCGGAGAAAGAAGAGUAGAAGAAAGUAAUGCACACUUCAUCAAAGCCAUAAAUAAGAUCGGAAUUCUUUGAUUGAAUUUUGAACAGCGAUUGGACAGGAGCUUUUACAUUGCAGAUCAUUGCAAAUGAAAUUAAUCACGUAAGUGAAACAGUACAGAUUCCAAGACAGAGAUGUAGUCAAAUUAAAAACAGAAAUGAAAAGGUUAAUUAAGUUAGUAAUUUAUUAAUAAUUUUCUUGUAUUCAUAUUUUAUAUCUUACACAUUAUAUAGUAUGAUCUCUCGCGCAUACUUUGUAUUGCACAAUAAAUCAGGUUUAAUACAUUCUUUCAUAAGUUGCUCUCUUUA
Molecule: long non-coding RNA, 691 nt
Organism: Stegodyphus dumicola
Lineage: Eukaryota; Metazoa; Arthropoda; Arachnida; Araneae; Eresidae
Source: RefSeq, a predicted model, not a curated record